GCUAAUACCGGAUAACAACAGAUGAUGCCUAUCAACUGUUUAAAAGAUGGUUCUGCUAUCACUCUUGGAUGGACCUGCGGUGCAUUAGCUAGUUGGUAGGGUAACGGCCUACCAAGGCGAUGAUGCAUAGCCGAGUUGAGAGACUGAUCGGCCACAUUGGUACUGAGACACGGCCCAAACUCCUACGGGAGGCAGCAGGC
RNAcentral lists this ribosomal RNA (200 nucleotides) under uncultured Lactobacillus sp. RNAcentral describes it as "partial 16S ribosomal RNA". It matches the Rfam family "Bacterial small subunit ribosomal RNA", at positions 162 to 354 of the family's 1533-position model. Lineage: Bacteria; Bacillati; Bacillota; Bacilli; Lactobacillales; Lactobacillaceae. The record is from RNAcentral.